AACAUUUUUUUAUUUAGUAGCGGAGAUCAAAAAAUAAAUAGGAGCUAUAUAAAUAGUACCGCAAGGGAAACGUGAAAUAACAUGAAAACUUAAAGCAAACCACAGCAAAGAUUAACCCUUGUACCUUUUGCAUCAUGGUCUAGCUAGCCUAACCAAGCAAAACGAACUUAAAGUUUGACCCCCCGAAACUAAGCGAGCUACUCUAAAACAGCCCACAGAGCCAACCCAUCCCUGUUACAAAAGGGUGGAAAGAUUUUAAAGUAGAGGUGACACACCAAUCGAGCCUAGAGAUAGCUGGUUAUUCAAAAGACGGAUCUAAGUCCAACUUUAAGCUUCUAUAAGUGGCACAAACAACCCACAAACUUAAAAGCCAUUCAAAUAAGGUACAGCCUAUUUGAACAAGGAGACAACCUAUGACAUAGGGUAACGACCACCACACGUGACUAAGUAGGCCUAAAAGCAGCCAACUUCUAAAGGGCGUCCAAGCCUUACCACACCCACUAUCAAUUUCUCUAUCCACCCACAACCCACAACCAACAAUGAAUGACCCCAUACCCAUAUGGAAGACACCAUGCUAGAACUAGUAACAAGAAGACGAACUUCUCCAAAAUGCAAACAUAGGCCAAAAUGAACCCUCACCGGCACUUACCGCACCACAACAUAGUACCAACUACACAAGAAUACCCUACUACAUUAAACGUCAACCUUACACAAGAGCACUCCUGGAAAGAUUAAAAGGGGGGGAAGGAACUCGGCAAACACCAGCCCCGCCUGUUUACCAAAAACAUCGCCUCUUGACAACAUAAGAGGUCUAGCCUGCCCAGUGACAAUAGUUAAACGGCCGCGGUAUCCUAACCGUGCAAAGGUAGCACAAUCACUUGUUCUCUAAAUCAGGACCAGUAUGAACGGCCCCACGAGGACUAUACUGUCUCCCCCCCCCAAUCAGUGAAACUGAUCCCCUCGUGAAGAAGCGAGGAUGCCCCCAUAAGACGAGAAGACCCCAUGGAACUUUAAACUGGUACCACCCACCCCACCUCUACACCACACCAACAGGACGACAUGACUACCAGUCUUUCGGCUGGGGCGGCCACGGAGAAAAACAAAACCCCCGAGAUGAAAGGAAACCCCCUUAUCCAAGAACCACUAUUCCAAGAAUCAACAAAUGACACUAUUGACCCAAUACUUGAUCAACGAACCAAGCUACCCUGGGGAUAACAGCGCAAUCCAUUUCAAGAGACCCCAUCGACAAAUGGGCUUACGACCUCGAUGUUGGAUCAGGGUACCCCGGUGGUGCAGCCGCUACCAAAGGUUCGUUUGUUCAACGAUUAAAACCCU
Molecule: ribosomal RNA, 1335 nt
Filed under: Stumpffia roseifemoralis
Lineage: Eukaryota; Metazoa; Chordata; Amphibia; Anura; Microhylidae
Description: partial 16S ribosomal RNA
Rfam family: Bacterial large subunit ribosomal RNA
Source: RNAcentral